Molecule: ribosomal RNA, 1157 nt
Filed under: Cellulosimicrobium cellulans
Lineage: Bacteria; Bacillati; Actinomycetota; Actinomycetes; Micrococcales; Promicromonosporaceae
Description: bacterial SSU rRNA
Source: RNAcentral
GGGGSGKCUUACACAUGCAGUCGAACGAUGAUGCCCAGCUUGCUGGGUGGAUUAGUGGCGAACGGGUGAGUAACACGUGAGUAACCUGCCCUUGACUUCGGGAUAACUCCGGGAAACCGGGGCUAAUACCGGAUAUGAGCUACCUUCGCAUGGGGGUGGUUGGAAAGUUYUUCGGUCAAGGAUGGGCUCGCGGCCUAUCAGCUUGUUGGUGGGGUGAUGGCCUACCAAGGCGACGACGGGUAGCCGGCCUGAGAGGGCGACCGGCCACACUGGGACUGAGACACGGCCCAGACUCCUACGGGAGGCAGCAGUGGGGAAUAUUGCACAAUGGGCGAAAGCCUGAUGCAGCGACGCCGCGUGAGGGAUGAAGGCCUUCGGGUUGUAAACCUCUUUCAGCAGGGAAGAAGCGCAAGUGACGGUACCUGCAGAAGAAGCGCCGGCUAACUACGUGCCAGCAGCCGCGGUAAUACGUAGGGCGCAAGCGUUGUCCGGAAUUAUUGGGCGUAAAGAGCUCGUAGGCGGUUUGUCGCGUCUGGUGUGAAAWCUCGAGGCUCAACCUCGAGCUUGCAUCGGGUACGGGCAGACUAGAGUGCGGUAGGGGAGACUGGAAUUCCUGGUGUAGCGGUGGAAUGCGCAGAUAUCAGGAGGAACACCGAUGGCGAAGGCAGGUCUCUGGGCCGCAACUGACGCUGAGGAGCGAAAGCAUGGGGAGCGAACAGGAUUAGAUACCCUGGUAGUCCAUGCCGUAAACGUUGGGCACUAGGUGUGGGGCUCAUUCCACGAGUUCCGUGCCGCAGCAAACGCAUUAAGUGCCCCGCCUGGGGAGUACGGCCGCAAGGCUAAAACUCAAAGGAAUUGACGGGGGCCCGCACAAGCGGCGGAGCAUGCGGAUUAAUUCGAUGCAACGCGAAGAACCUUACCAAGGCUUGACAUGCACGGGAAGCCACCAGAGAUGGUGGUCUCUUUGGACACUCGUGCACAGGUGGUGCAUGGUUGUCGUCAGCUCGUGUCGUGAGAUGUUGGGUUAAGUCCCGCAACGAGCGCAACCUCGUCCCAUGUUGCCAGCGGGUUAUGCGGGACUCAUGGGAGACUGCCGGGUCAACUCGGAGGAUGUGUGAAUGAACGUCCAAUCAUCAUGCCCCCGUUAAUGGUCCGUG